CUUGCAGGGUACUCGAGUGGCGAACGGGUGAGUAACACGUGGGUGAUCCGCCCUGCACUUCGGGAUAAGCUUGGGAAACUGGGUCUAAUACCGGAUAGGAGCCAUCUUUAGUGUGGUGGUUGGAAAGUUUUUUCGGUGUAGGAUGAGCUCGCGGCCUAUCAGCUUGUUGGUGGGGUAAUGGCCUACCAAGGCGGCGACGGGUAGCCGGCCUGAGAGGGUGUACGGCCACAUUGGGACUGAGAUACGGCCCAG
This 252-nucleotide ribosomal RNA is filed under the name uncultured Actinomycetales bacterium. Its description in RNAcentral is "partial 16S ribosomal RNA". It matches the Rfam family "Bacterial small subunit ribosomal RNA", at positions 79 to 334 of the family's 1533-position model. Lineage: Bacteria; Bacillati; Actinomycetota; Actinomycetes; Actinomycetales. The record is from RNAcentral.